This 127-nucleotide small RNA is filed under the name Marmota monax (woodchuck). Lineage: Eukaryota; Metazoa; Chordata; Mammalia; Rodentia; Sciuridae. The record is from RNAcentral.
GCUGGGCUCAGUGGCGUAAGCCUGUAAUCUCAGCCAUUUGGGAGGCUGAGGUAGGAGGAUCAUGAGUUCAAAGCCAGCCUCAGCAACUUAGUGAGGCCCUAAGCAACUUAGUAAGACCCUAUCUCUA